UGGGGGUUUUGUUUUUUUUUGAGGUGGAGCAUCAAAGGAAGACCUGCAGCUUCUUCAGGAAGGCUUAAAAAGUGGUUUGUAUACUACACGCAAGGCUGGUAAGAGAAAGGGACUCUUCUGGAAGGAGGUGGAUGACCGCACAACAGAGAUGUUGCCUCAAGUUUUUGUUUGUUUUUUUGUUUUUUCCCAACUUGUUUUACAUCUUGUGGGUUUAUCACUUAUCAGUAUUUGGCAUUCUCUUGUGCAAAAGGAAAAAAAAUUAUGGCGGUGGAAUCAGAAUUUUAUUUUUUAAAUUAUAUACUUCGUAAUGAUUUUUGGACAGUCCACGUGUCAUUAAAAAAUUAAACAAUAUCCUAAAAUCCCAGAAUUUUUACUACACAGAUGGAAGCUGCUGUCUCUGAGUAUUGCAAUCAAAACAUGAAUUUAAAGUGGUACAGACAGCAGUGAAAUAAAGAAGUAGUUUGAGUCCAGACAAGUGCUUUUAUGUCCAUUUUUUUCCCCAGAAGAUAUGAAAUUUUUAACAAAAGGUUUGAAAUGGGAGCCUCAGUUUAGUAUUUAAAAAAACAAAACAAGAUAAAAACAAGCUCUCUUAAGUGGCCGUGGAGUUGAUUCUCUGUACUUUGUGCUUUUUAGGACCCAGUUUAGUAAUAUUGAUGGUAUAUUAACAACCCUUUAGACAAUGAGUGGGGAAAUUCAGUUACGCUGAAAAUGGCGAUUGAUCAGCUCCUAAGUGUGAGGAAAAUAAUCCAUGUGUUGCUUUUCACCAGCAAAGCAUCUGGUCCUAAUUGAGUUGUGCUGAAAACGUGUAGGUGGUCAACAUUGUUCCUCCUUUUUUUUUUUUCUUUUCUUUUUUUUUUUUCUUCUAAAUUAAUAUCAGUAUUAACCGCUGUAGGAACAUUGAGUCUGACAUUGAGUAUUUAAUCCUGUUUUGAUUGAUAAGAACAGGAAUGGAUUCAGGCUUAAUGUAAAACCUCCACGUUUACUUAUUAACAGAGUAUACUUUGUAAAUACUGUAUGAUAAUUGAUGUGAUUUCUUUUUAGUACACCGUGUAGGUUUUUUGUUUUUGUUUUUGUUUUUUGUUCACACAUGGGUAAGUGUGAAUGUUUUUUGUUUGUUUUUUCUUUGUUCAUACAACUAUUGAACAAAUUUGUGAAUAUGUUAAAAAAAAAAAAAAAGUAGAAUUUGAUUGUAUGCAGUGAUCUCAGUGUGGCUAUAUCGGAGAAAUGUCAGUUAGCGCUGUUUCCGAGUGCAGCCUGAACACAGUUGCACAGGUUGUCAAAUCCAAUUUUGGCUCGAUGCUCAGACUCCAUUGGUCCAAAAAAGAAGGAAAAAUAAGUUGUUGAAAUUUUUCCCUUUAGGUUUUGUGCCACAUUUUCCUGUUUUGUGCUCUCUGAUUGGUUCCUGCUGGUUUCGUAUAUAUUCAGUGACAAAUCAGACCAAUGUGGCUAAAACCUUGCCUCCUGACCAAUCAUGUCGAUGAAUCACGUGUGACCCUGGAUCAUAUAUAUAUUUUAGAUUUGUUCGUUGUUGACCUUUGAUUUCAGCAUAUGUUUUGUAAUGACAAAGAUCUCAACAUGUUUCCUUUCUUUCCCCCCCCCCCCCUCCCUUCAUUUACCUUACUCCCCUAUCCUCCUUACUGCCCCCCCUCCCCUCACUCCUUAAACCCUCCUCCCACAUGCCGCCAGACUUCUCGUCCUUCAGCUUGCAAGGCUGCUGCAUUGCAGGAGCACACGGAGGGAUAAGUGGGCGAAACUCCUCCAGAUGCCUGCCGGAGAGAGUGAAUUUAAGUAUUGUAUCCUGUCUGCAGUGCUUUUAAUAGUUUGUGUUGCAGCACUUUAACAACUGAAGCUGAAGGUCUAUCUGUAAUGUGCCCUCCCUAUCCCUCAUUCCCAUGGCUACAUAGAUCUGAUAGGAUAAACUGCCAUUUUGUAAAUAUUGUGUACAUAUCUUUUGGAAAGACGUCUAAUAAAAAAAAAAAAAAA
Long non-coding RNA from Astatotilapia calliptera (eastern happy), 1983 nucleotides. The record is from Ensembl. Lineage: Eukaryota; Metazoa; Chordata; Actinopteri; Cichliformes; Cichlidae.